RNAcentral lists this ribosomal RNA (433 nucleotides) under uncultured bacterium. RNAcentral describes it as "partial 16S ribosomal RNA". It matches the Rfam family "Bacterial small subunit ribosomal RNA", at positions 29 to 507 of the family's 1533-position model. The record is from RNAcentral.
AACGAACGCUGGCGGCAUGCCUAACACAUGCAAGUCGAACGAGACCUUCGGGACUAGUGGCGCACGGGGGCGUAACGCGGGGGAACCUGCCCUUAGGUUCGGAAUAACUCCCCGAAGGGGGUGCUAAUACCGGGUAACGUAUUCGGACCAAAGAUUUAUCGCCUUUGGGUGGGCACGCGUUGGAUUAGCUUGUUGGGAGGGUAAAAGCCUACCACGGCGACGAUCCAUAGCUGGUCUGUGAGGAUGAUCAGCCACACUUGGACUGAGACACGGCCCAGACUCCUACGGGAGGCAGCAGAGGGGAAUAUUGGACUACGGGCGAAAGCCUGAUCCCGCAAUGCCGCUUGAGUGAUGAAGGCCUUAGGGUUGUAAAGCUCUUUUACCCGGGAUGAUAAUGACAGUACCGGGAGAAUAAGCACCGGCUAACUCCGUG